This 369-nucleotide ribosomal RNA is filed under the name uncultured phototrophic eukaryote. RNAcentral's name for it is "SSU rRNA". It matches the Rfam family "Bacterial small subunit ribosomal RNA", at positions 524 to 896 of the family's 1533-position model. The record is from RNAcentral.
UACGGGGGAUGCAAGCGUUAUCCGGAAUCAUUGGGCGUAAAGCGCCUGUAGGUUGUUUACAAAGUCUGUUGUUAAAGACUAGGGCUUAACCCUAGAAAAGCAAUGGAAACUCGUAGACUAGAGUAUGGCAGGGGUAGAGGGAAUUUCUAGUGUAGCGGUGAAAUGCGUAGAUAUUAGAAAGAACACCGGUGGCGAAAGCGCUCUACUGGACCAUUACUGACACUCAGAGGCGAAAGCUAGGGUAGCAAAAGGGAUUAGAUACCCCUGUAGUCUUAGCCGUAAACGAUGGAUACUAGAUGUUGUGCAUAAUGUACAGUAUCGUAGCUAACGCGUUAAGUAUCCCGCCUGGGGAGUACGCUCGCAAGGGUG